RNAcentral lists this ribosomal RNA (445 nucleotides) under Capnocytophaga gingivalis. RNAcentral's name for it is "bacterial SSU rRNA". It matches the Rfam family "Bacterial small subunit ribosomal RNA", at positions 28 to 474 of the family's 1533-position model. Lineage: Bacteria; Pseudomonadati; Bacteroidota; Flavobacteriia; Flavobacteriales; Flavobacteriaceae. The record is from RNAcentral.
GAUGAACGCUAGCGGCAGGCCUAACACAUGCAAGUCGAGGGAGAAGCCCUUUCGGGGGCAGAAACCGGCGCACGGGUGCGUAACGCGUAUGCAACCUACCUUUCACAGGGGGAUAGCCCGAAGAAAUUUGGAUUAAUACCCCAUAAUAUUAUUGGAUGGCAUCAUUUGAUAAUUAAAACUGCGGUGGUGAAAGAUGGGCAUGCGUCCUAUUAGCUAGUUGGAGUGGUAACGGCACCCCAAGGCUACGAUAGGUAGGGGUCCUGAGAGAGAGAUCCCCCACACUGGUACUGAGACAGGGACCAGACUCCUACGGGAGGCAGCAGUGAGGAAUAUUGGUCAAUGGUCGGAAGACUGAACCAGCCAUGCCGCGUGCAGGAAGAAUGCCUUAUGGGUUGUAAACUGCUUUUAUAUGGGAAGAAUAAGGCGUACGUGUACGUUGAUGACG